UACAGAGGGCUCAACCGUUGUUCGGAUUCAUUGGGCGUAAAGGGUGCGUAGGCGGUCGUGCAAGUCGGAUGUGAAAUCUCAGGGCUCAACCCUGAAACUGCAUUCGAUACUGCGUGGCUAGAGUGCUGGAGAGGAGACUGGAAUUUACGGUGUAGCAGUGAAAUGCGUAGAUAUCGAGAGGAACACCUGCGGCGAAGGCGGGUUGCUGGGCCGACACUGACGCUGAGGCGCGAAAGCUAGGGGAGCGAACGGG
Molecule: ribosomal RNA, 253 nt
Filed under: uncultured bacterium
Lineage: Bacteria
Description: partial 16S ribosomal RNA
Rfam family: Bacterial small subunit ribosomal RNA
Source: RNAcentral